UACGAAGGGGGCUAGCGUUGUUCGGAAUUACUGGGCGUAAAGCGCGCGCAGGCGGUCUUCCAAGUCAGUGGUGAAAGCCCGGAGCUCAACUCCGGAACUGCCAUUGAAACUGUUAGACUUGAGGAUGAGAGAGGUGAGUGGAAUUCCCAGUGUAGAGGUGAAAUUCGUAGAUAUUGGGAAGAACACCGGUGGCGAAGGCGGCUCACUGGCUCAUUCCUGACGCUCAGGCGCGAUAGCGUGGGGAGCAAACAGG
Molecule: ribosomal RNA, 253 nt
Filed under: uncultured bacterium
Lineage: Bacteria
Description: partial 16S ribosomal RNA
Rfam family: Bacterial small subunit ribosomal RNA
Source: RNAcentral